AGGACGAACGCUGGCGGCGUGCCUAACACAUGCAAGUCGAACGGUCCGGCACUCAACCGACCCUCAGUCUAGCUGUAGGUGAAGUUGAGUGCCGGAUAGUGGCGGACGGGUGAGUAACGCGUGGGCAACCAACCCUGUACAGUGGGAUAACACCGGGAAACCGGUGCUAAUACCGCAUGACACCUAGAUGGUGCAUACUGUUUAGGUUAAAGGAUUUAACCGGUACAGGACGGGCCCGCGUCCCAUUAGCUGGUUGGCGAGGUAACGGCUCACCAAGGCGACGAUGGGUAGCCGACCUGAGAGGGUGACCGGCCACACUGGGACUGAGACACGGCCCAGACUCCUACGGGAGGCAGCAGUGGGGAAUAUUGCGCAAUGGACGGAAGUCUGACGCAGCGACGCCGCGUGAGCGACGAAGGCCUUCGGGUCGUAAAGCUCUGUUCUUGGGGACGAAUAAAAUGACGGUACCCAAGGAGAAAGCCCCGGCUAACUACGUG
RNAcentral lists this ribosomal RNA (497 nucleotides) under uncultured bacterium. RNAcentral describes it as "bacterial SSU rRNA". It matches the Rfam family "Bacterial small subunit ribosomal RNA", at positions 26 to 507 of the family's 1533-position model. The record is from RNAcentral.